This 1274-nucleotide long non-coding RNA is filed under the name Sorghum bicolor (sorghum). RNAcentral's name for it is "long non-coding RNA (SBIC_LNC005598)". Lineage: Eukaryota; Viridiplantae; Streptophyta; Magnoliopsida; Poales; Poaceae. The record is from RNAcentral.
UGUAACUCAUCAUUAGCUUGCUGUAGAGUAGAAAUGUUCUCAGUUUGCUUUUCAACCACAAUCUCAAGAUUCCUGACAGAAGCCUGAGACGUCUGUAACUCCAAUAGAGCUGUGUCCUUCUCUGCACCUAGGUCUGAAAUUUGAGCAUGCAGAUUGCUCCUGGCUUCUUCAAACUGCUUGUCCAAGGUGGAGUUGUUUUCUAGCUGUAUGGAAAGCUCCUCUUUCAGUCGUGUCACCUCGUUCUCAAGAUUUUGUACUGAAGUCUCUGACUGCUUCAGUUGUGUUAGCACUGUAUCCUUCUCUUCUUGUAUUGCCUUCAACUCAUCCUGCAUCUCCGCCUUGGCUUGUUGUGAUUGCUCAGUCAAAGUGUAGAUGUUCUUCUGUAGCUCAUCAUUAGCUUGCUGUAGAGUAGAAAUGUUCUCAGUUUGCUUUUCAACCACAGUCUCAAGAUUCCUGACAGAAGCCUGAGACGUCUGUAACUCUAAUAGAGCUGUGUCCUUCUCUGCACCUAGGUCUGAAAUUUGAGCAUGCAGAUUGCUCCUGGCUUCUUCAAACUGCUUGUCCAAGGUGGAGUUGUUUUCUAGCUGUUCGGAAAGCUCCUCUUUCAGCCGUGUCACCUCAUUCUCAAGAUUUUGUACUGAAGUCUCUGACUGCUUCAGUUGUGUUAGCACUGUAUCCUUCUCUUCUUGUAUUGCCUUCAACUCAUCCUGCAUCUCCGCCUUGGCUUGUUGUGAUUGCUCAGUCAAAGUGUAGAUGUUCUUCUGUAACUCAUCAUUAGCUUGCUGUAGAGUAGAAAUGUUCUCAGUUUGCUUUUCAACCACAAUCUCAAGAUUCCUGACAGAAGCCUGAGACGUCUGUAACUCCAAUAGAGCUGUGUCCUUCUCUGCACCUAGGUCUGAAAUUUGAGCAUGCAGAUUGCUCCUGGCUUCUUCAAACUGCUUGUCCAAGGUGGAGUUGUUUUCUAGCUGUAUGGAAAGCUCCUCUUUCAGUCGUGUCACCUCGUUCUCAAGAUUUUGUACUGAAGUCUCUGACUGCUUCAGUUGUGUUAGCACUGUAUCCUUCUCUUCUUGUAUUGCCUUCAACUCAUCCUGCAUCUCCGCCUUGGCUUGUUGUGAUUGCUCAGUCAAAGUGUAGAUGUUCUUCUGUAGCUCAUCAUUAGCUUGCUGUAGAGUAGAAAUGUUCUCAGUUUGCUUUUCAACCACAAUCUCAAGAUUCCUGACAGAAGCCUGAGACGUCUGUAACUCCAAUAGAGCUGUGUCCUUCUCUGCACCUAG